Molecule: long non-coding RNA, 289 nt
Filed under: Elaeis guineensis (African oil palm)
Lineage: Eukaryota; Viridiplantae; Streptophyta; Magnoliopsida; Arecales; Arecaceae
Description: long non-coding RNA (EGUI_LNC028492)
Source: RNAcentral
AUAGCUGUCAAUGCUAUCUGGCCAUAGUUGUCAAUGCUAUGUGGGCAUAACCAUUUGAUCCUGAGAAUCUUUCAGGAGUAACCAUCUGAUCUUGAGAAUCACAAUCAAAUAACUACACCAGAUUUAGUCAGUCUAUCUAUCAAAAAUAGUUACAUAGCCAUCUCCUCUAUAAAUAUUCAAACUUCGAGGAUCCAGAUAAGUAAUUCAUCUCAGAAAGUUAAAACUUAGCUUCUCUAUUUGCGCAUUCAGAUUUGAGCAUCGGAGGAUCUUCGUCGAAGUACAAUCAUCC